Molecule: transfer RNA, 72 nt
Filed under: Phelsuma laticauda (broad-tailed day gecko)
Lineage: Eukaryota; Metazoa; Chordata; Lepidosauria; Squamata; Gekkonidae
Description: tRNA-Glu
Source: RNAcentral
GUUUUUAUAGUUGAAUUACAACGGUGAUUUUUCAGAUCAAAGGUUCUGGUGUUGUUAGACCAGAUAAGAAUU